GUGGAUUAUAUACCCGGGUAGUCCACGCCCUAAACGAUGGGUACUAGACGUCGGGAAGCUUGUCUUCUUGGUGUCGCAGCUAACGCAAUAAGUACCCCGCCUGGGGAGUACGGUCGCAAGAUUAAAACUCAAAGGAAUUGACGGGGGCCCGCACAAGCGGUGGAGCAUGUGGUUCAAUUCGAUGCAACGCGAAAAACCUUACCUGCCCUUGACAUCUGGGGAAUCCUGCAGAGAUGCGGGAGUGCCGCAAGGAACCCCAAGACAGGUGCUGCACGGCCGUCGACAGCU
RNAcentral lists this ribosomal RNA (288 nucleotides) under uncultured bacterium. RNAcentral's name for it is "partial 16S ribosomal RNA". It matches the Rfam family "Bacterial small subunit ribosomal RNA", at positions 773 to 1060 of the family's 1533-position model. The record is from RNAcentral.